CUUUCUUUCUUUCUUUCUUUCUUUCUUCCUUUCUUUCUUUCUUUCUUUCCUUUUUGUCAAGAAUGUUUUCAAUAAUCAAGAAUGAAAGUUGGAGGUUCGAAGUCAAUCAGAUACCAACCAUAAACGAUGCCGACUGUCGAUUUGAUGGUGUUAUUCCCAUGAUCCGUCGGGCAGCUUUUGAGAAACCAAAGUCUUUGGGU
This 200-nucleotide non-coding RNA is filed under the name Cricetulus griseus (Chinese hamster). RNAcentral's name for it is "Eukaryotic small subunit ribosomal RNA". It matches the Rfam family "Eukaryotic small subunit ribosomal RNA", at positions 679 to 1112 of the family's 1831-position model. Lineage: Eukaryota; Metazoa; Chordata; Mammalia; Rodentia; Cricetidae. The record is from Rfam by way of RNAcentral.